CCCUUAGAUGUUCUGGGCCGCACGCGCGCUACACUGAAGGGAUCAGCGUGUUUUCCCUUUCCGAGAGGAACGGGUAACCCGCUGAACCCCCUUCGUGGUAGGGAUCGGAGCUUGCAAUUGUUCUCCGUGAACCAGGAAUUCCCAGUAAGCGCAAGUCAUAAGCUUGCGUUGAUUACGUCCCUGCCCUUUGUACACACCGCCCGUCGCUACUACCGAUUGAACGUUUUAGUGAGGUAUUUGGACUGGGCCUUGGGAGGUUUCGGCCUCCCUUGUUGCUCGGAAAGACUCCCAAACUUGAGCGUUUAGAAGAAGUAAAAGUCGUAACA
RNAcentral lists this ribosomal RNA (326 nucleotides) under uncultured eukaryote. Its description in RNAcentral is "partial 18S ribosomal RNA". It matches the Rfam family "Eukaryotic small subunit ribosomal RNA", at positions 1470 to 1796 of the family's 1831-position model. The record is from RNAcentral.